Molecule: ribosomal RNA, 261 nt
Filed under: uncultured bacterium
Lineage: Bacteria
Description: partial 16S ribosomal RNA
Rfam family: Bacterial small subunit ribosomal RNA
Source: RNAcentral
AAAGGGAAGCGAGCCUGCGAGGGGGAGGCAAAUCCCAGAAAUAACGUCCCAGUUCGGAUUGUAGUCUGCAACCCGACUACAUGAAGCUGGAAUCGCUAGUAAUCGCGGAUCAGCAAGCCGCGGUGAAUACGUUCCCGGGCCUUGUACACACCGCCCGUCACACCAUGAGAGUCGGGAACACCCGAAGUCCGUAGUCUAACCGCAAGGGGGGCGCGGCCGAAGGUGGGUCCGGUAAUUGGGGUGAAGUCGUAACAAGGUACC